UCUCCUAAGGCUAAAUACUCUCUAGUGACCGAUAGUGAACCAGUACCGUGAGGGAAAGGUGAAAAGCACCCCGGAAGGGGAGUGAAAUAGAACCUGAAACCGUGUGCUUACAAGUAGUCAGAGCCCGUUAAUGGGUGAUGGCGUGCCUUUUGUAGAAUGAACCGGCGAGUUACGAUUUGAUGCAAGGUUAAGCAGUAAAUGUGGAGCCGUAGCGAAAGCGAGUCUGAAUAGGGCGUUUAGUAUUUGGUCGUAGACCCGAAACCAGGUGAUCUACCCUUGGUCAGGUUGAAGUUCAGGUAACACUGAAUGGAGGACCGAACCGACUUACGUUGAAAAGUGAGCGGAUGAACUGAGGGUAGCGGAGAAAUUCCAAUCGAACCUGGAGAUAGCUGGUUCUCUCCGAAAUAGCUUUAGGGCUAGCCUCAAGUGAUGAUUAUUGGAGGUAGAGCACUGUUUGGACGAGGGGCCC
Molecule: ribosomal RNA, 469 nt
Filed under: Escherichia coli
Lineage: Bacteria; Pseudomonadati; Pseudomonadota; Gammaproteobacteria; Enterobacterales; Enterobacteriaceae
Description: partial 23S ribosomal RNA
Rfam family: Bacterial large subunit ribosomal RNA
Source: RNAcentral